Molecule: ribosomal RNA, 600 nt
Filed under: uncultured bacterium
Lineage: Bacteria
Description: bacterial SSU rRNA
Rfam family: Bacterial small subunit ribosomal RNA
Source: RNAcentral
ACGAGUCCUUUACUGACGCUAAAGCUCGAAGGUGCGGGUAUCGAACAGGAUUAGAUACCCUGGUAGUCCGCACGGUAAACGAUGGAUGCCCGCUGUCGGCGACAGACUGUCGGCGGCCAAGCGAAAGCGUUAAGCAUCCCACCUGGGGAGUACGCCGGCAACGGUGAAACUCAAAGGAAUUGACGGGGGCCCGCGCAAGCGGAGGAACAUGUGGUUUAAUUCGAUGAUACGCGAGGAACCUUACCCGGGCUUGAACUGCAGCAGAACGAUCCAGAGAUGGUGAGGCCCUUCGGGGCUGCUGUGGAGGUGCUGCAUGGUUGUCGUCAGCUCGUGCCGUGAGGUGUCGGCUUAAGUGCCAUAACGAGCGCAACCCCUUUCGCCAGUUGCCAUCAGGUGAUGCUGGGCACUCCGGCGACACUGCCACCGCAAGGUGCGAGGAAGGUGGGGAUGACGUCAAAUCAGCACGGCCUUGACGUGCGGGGUGUACACACCCUGACAACGGGUGGUACAGAGAGUCGGCCAUGCGCAAGGCCGGUCCAAUCAAGAAAGCCAUCCUCAGUUCGGAUUGGGGUAUGCGACCCGACGCCAUGAGGCUGGAUG